RNAcentral lists this ribosomal RNA (115 nucleotides) under Cordylochernes scorpioides. Lineage: Eukaryota; Metazoa; Arthropoda; Arachnida; Pseudoscorpiones; Chernetidae. The record is from RNAcentral.
ACGGCCAUACCACAUUGAUAACACCGGUUGUCGUCCGAUCACCGAAGUUAAGCAAUGUCGGGCCUGGUCAGUACUUGGGAGGGUGACCACCUGGGAAUACAGAGUGCUGUAGGCU